UUGUGGCAUUGCUCAUCUGCUGGAGAGCACGCGAGAUGCUCCCCCCUAAUUGUGCUAACACCAUCUUGACGGAGAUCGAUUAACGAAAUCAACAGGAUUAUGAAGGAACUUCAAUGUUUGUGAAUGCCAAUCGAUUAGGCUUUAAGAUUUGGGAACGAAAUCUUUGUUCAGUGAUUUGUCUUAUAAGGAUAAUUUUGGGGGAAAAAAGCAAGUCUCUG
Molecule: unclassified non-coding RNA, 218 nt
Filed under: Hevea brasiliensis (rubber tree)
Lineage: Eukaryota; Viridiplantae; Streptophyta; Magnoliopsida; Malpighiales; Euphorbiaceae
Source: RNAcentral